This 220-nucleotide unclassified non-coding RNA is filed under the name chlamydia-associated clinical sample 834-G. RNAcentral's name for it is "intergenic spacer region". The record is from RNAcentral.
GCGGAAGGCGAAAGUAUCUGGAGAGCAGAGAUGCUAAGAGAAGGAUAUGAGAAGCCAAGCGAAAGCACACAAAGAAACUUUGUUUAGUUUUGAGGGCAAUAAGCACUCAAGAGUUAGGACAUUGAAACUGAUAUAAUCAAGCAAAACCGAGCAAUCAAAGAACAGAUUGAAAAAAAGAGCGACCGAGAAGAGAGAAGCUGAACUUGAAUAGGUCAAGUAG